UACGAAGGGUGCAAACGUUGCUCGGAAUUAUUGGGCGUAAAGCGCACGUAGGCGGCCAAGCAAGUCGGAUGUGAAAUCCCUCGGCUCAACCAAGGAAGUGCAUCCGAAACUGCAGGGCUUGAGUACUUAAGAGGAUCGCGGAAUUCCCGGUGUAGAGGUGAAAUUCGUAGAUAUCGGGAGGAACACCAGUGGCGAAGGCGGCGACCUGGGAAGAUACUGACGCUGAGGUGCGAAAGCGUGGGGAGCAAACAGG
RNAcentral lists this ribosomal RNA (253 nucleotides) under uncultured bacterium. Its description in RNAcentral is "partial 16S ribosomal RNA". It matches the Rfam family "Bacterial small subunit ribosomal RNA", at positions 524 to 776 of the family's 1533-position model. The record is from RNAcentral.